UUUUUCUGUUUUUGAGCUCCUGACAGUGACGGCUCCUGCUCACCAUCCAGUUUCACAGUAUGGAGAACCUCUGGGAUUCUGCUAAACGUCUGUUUUUGUGUCCUGCAGAAGAAGUAGUCAUACAGCUUGAGGGACAUUCCUGAGAUAACAGACAUGCACACCUACAGGAGCUCAGGGGUGAAGCCCCCCAUGGCGACGGAAACGGCCCGAGGAAAGGCCUCAUGCUGGAGGGAGAUGGGCCCGGCAGCUCCCUCAACAAUGGAAGCUCUUGGAAGAUUCUAGGAAGAUCUUGUCUUUUUCGUAAUGGUCU
Molecule: long non-coding RNA, 310 nt
Organism: Sinocyclocheilus rhinocerous
Lineage: Eukaryota; Metazoa; Chordata; Actinopteri; Cypriniformes; Cyprinidae
Exons: 3
Source: RefSeq, a predicted model, not a curated record